UUCCCAAAGUGCUGGGAUUACAGGCAUGAGCCAGGGCGCCCAGCCCCAAGCAUUUUGGAUAACGACGCUCAACCUGUAUUGGAUCCCUAUGCAGGUUCCCAGAACCUUCGGACUCGGAAGAUGACCUCCAAAGAGGUUCACAGCGCCGAGUCUGCAUGAGAACUCGGCUUAGGUGCCUGCACUGAAAUCUGUCAUGCUGCACACUUUGCCAUGACCUGAGGCCAAAAAACAAACACCGUAUAGCUGGCAAAGGCGUUUAAUAGAAAUGA
Homo sapiens (human) is the source of this 269-nucleotide long non-coding RNA. RefSeq lists it as uncharacterized. Lineage: Eukaryota; Metazoa; Chordata; Mammalia; Primates; Hominidae. The record is from RefSeq and is a predicted model, not a curated record. The transcript has 2 exons.